UACGGGGGGAGCAAGCGUUGUUCGGAAUCACUGGGCGUAAAGGGCGUCUAGGCGGUUUGGUAAGUGGGAUGUGAAAUGCCCGGGCUCACCCCGGGACCUGCAUCCCAAACUGCUGAGCUUGAGUACAGGAGAGGGUGGGGGAAUUCCAGGUGUAGCGGUGAAAUGCGUAGAUAUCUGGAGGAACACCUGAGGUGAAGACGGGUUGCUGGGCCGACACUGACGCUGAGUGCGCGAAAGCCAGGGGAGCAAACGGG
This 254-nucleotide ribosomal RNA is filed under the name uncultured bacterium. Its description in RNAcentral is "partial 16S ribosomal RNA". It matches the Rfam family "Bacterial small subunit ribosomal RNA", at positions 524 to 776 of the family's 1533-position model. The record is from RNAcentral.